Molecule: long non-coding RNA, 506 nt
Filed under: Triticum aestivum (bread wheat)
Lineage: Eukaryota; Viridiplantae; Streptophyta; Magnoliopsida; Poales; Poaceae
Description: long non-coding RNA (TAES_LNC009898)
Source: RNAcentral
UGCAAUUUCAACGGAUAAGGAGUUGGUCUGAAAAAACAGAACCAUAGAUCUGAUCAACAGGUUCGAGCUUAUUGAUAACGAGUUUAGUCUGAGAAAACAGAACCACAGAUCCGAUCAACAGCUUUGAGCUUAUAGGGCACAAAAUUAGCUCAAAACCACACAUGGAUUUUUAGUGCAGUACUCGGGCCAAAACUUCCCACAUCUUAUUGCUACUACUGGAGGGUAAAGUUUUGAGCUAGUUAGUUGGACCAAGACUUUUUUUUUUCUGAAAAACACAGUAUAAACGCAGGCACUCACAAAUAUGAACACAUGCUCCCCCACCCUACCCCUAUGAGCACCUUCGAGAGACUGAGCCGGUGCAUGUUUCAAAACCUUAAUCAUACGCCAUUCUAUGUGAGCUUUUCAGGGGAUGAAGGAAUGGAAGUACACCUUGAAAGAUGAGAGAUAGACCUUUUGGAAGGAGAUAUCACACAGAAAGCCAGAUUAGAUACAUUGUUGCGGUGUUG